This 449-nucleotide ribosomal RNA is filed under the name uncultured bacterium. Its description in RNAcentral is "partial 16S ribosomal RNA". It matches the Rfam family "Bacterial small subunit ribosomal RNA", at positions 29 to 523 of the family's 1533-position model. The record is from RNAcentral.
AGCGAACGCUGGCGGCAGGCGUAACACAUGCAAGUCGAACGGGCACUUCGGUGUAAGUGGCAGACGGGUGAGUAACCAGUGGGAACGUACCUUUUGGUUCGGAACAACUGAGGGAAACUUCAGCUAAUACCGGAUAAGCCCUUACGGCGAAAGAUUUAUCGCCGAAAGAUCCGCCCGCGUCUUAUUAGCUAGUUGGUAGGGUAAUGGCCUACCAAGGCGACGAUCAGUAGCUGGUCUGAGAGGAUGAUCAGCCACAUUGGGACUGAGACACGGCCCAAACUCCUACGGGAGGCAGCAGUGGGGAAUAUUGGACAAUGGGGGCAACCCUGAUCCAGCCAUGCCGCGUGAGUGAUGAAGGCCCUAGGGUUGUAAAGCUCUUUUGUGCGGGAAGAUAAUGACGGUACCGCAAGAAUAAGCCCCGGCUAACUUCGUGCCAGCAGCCGCGGUAA